AUUACAGAUAGUAGAAAUAGUUGUAUUAGAGAUAAAUGUGAGGUGCAAUAAACCAUCAACACCCUAGCAAGACCAACCACUUCCUACAGAUAACCAAUAAUUAUUAAGUUGCAAGCAGAAAGGCGCAAUAAUGAGUAAUAAAAUAAGAUUAAGUAAAUUCACUUGGCUCUUUUUGGAUGUGGAAUUACUACGCAACUUUCGCAUGACCAAAGAAGAGUGGAACAGGCCUUCAAAAAAAUUAAAAGAAAUAAUCCAGACCUGCACGAAACAACAAUAUUAACUAAGUGGGCAUCAGAUAUGACCCGACUUCGGAGAAGAGCGAGCUUAUUAUGUUUACCGAAAACGGCGUUGUCAAGUUUACCAAUAUCAGCUGAUCCUUUUAAAUACAUAUAUUAUAAAGA
This is a long non-coding RNA of Anthonomus grandis grandis, 401 nucleotides long. RefSeq lists it as uncharacterized. The record is from RefSeq and is a predicted model, not a curated record. Lineage: Eukaryota; Metazoa; Arthropoda; Insecta; Coleoptera; Curculionidae. The transcript is spliced from 2 exons.